This 192-nucleotide ribosomal RNA is filed under the name Triticum aestivum (bread wheat). Its description in RNAcentral is "partial small subunit ribosomal RNA". Lineage: Eukaryota; Viridiplantae; Streptophyta; Magnoliopsida; Poales; Poaceae. The record is from RNAcentral.
AUGCCUAAGGACAUGUCCCUCCGCCCCGCCGUGGCCUUCUUCGUCGCUUGGAACCACGAGACCAAGAUGGAGAGCUCCACAUCGCGGGGAUCGAGCUCUCCUUCCUCCUUCGGACGUCGCCGUUCAUCAACGACUCCAGCGCUGUCGAUCCUCCCCGAGCCCACCUUUGCACCCCCUACGGGAUCCCAGUGA